Molecule: long non-coding RNA, 813 nt
Organism: Alligator sinensis (Chinese alligator)
Lineage: Eukaryota; Metazoa; Chordata; Crocodylia; Alligatoridae
Exons: 4
Source: RefSeq, a predicted model, not a curated record
UAGAACAGGAAUGAGUUAAUGCCAGCCGAAGGGGUUAAGGAGAAGAAGAAAAGCUUUUUAUAUAUGUUAAGAGCCUGAAAAAUACCAGAGAGAAAGUUGUUCCAUUAAUAAACAAGGAGGGAAAGUAAAUCAAUGGUAGUUUUAAAUUGGGUAAACUACUGAACUGCUGUAUAAAACCUGUUAGACAAGAAAAAUAUGGAAAAAGGAAUGGAUAAUUAAGAAGCAAUGACGACUUUGUCAAAGCUAUUGAUGAAAAGCAGCAGUGAUGAAUUAUGACAGAUCUUCUGAAGUAAAUUGGAAACAUGGCUGAAGUCAAGAGAGCAACACCAAUUUACAUCAGCAGAGGAUUUGACCCAUAUUUUCAUCUUUCUGAUAACACUUUACCUGGGCAGGAGUAGAUGCCUGAAGAUGGAAUUAGAGAGAUGAAAUAUAAUCUCUCAGGAAGACAGGGAGGGAUGAUUACCUAUUCCAGGUGCACUGGGCUUGUCUCCAAGGUGAGCUCUGGUAGUGCAAAUGGAUAGCAGAUAGCAAAUGUUACAGGCAGUGGAGAGAAGAAUCAGGAUCUGAAGAAAGCCAGAACUCAGGAACAAGGAAUUUUGCAAACUUGUCUGAGAGAGGAUGACAAGGAUGAUGAUUGUGUAGGUGUCCUCUUCAAAAUCUUGUGUAUACAUGUAGGAGUUCCAGAGAAACUCUGUGAAAAGAACAUUUUCUGUGCUGCUUCUAGACUUCCACUUUGGGUUCCCCACUGCUCUGCUUCAGGGAGCAUAAAGAUGCUCUAGCAAAGCAUUAUUUAAUCAGGCAUAAAAAUACCCA